CAGUCGCCGCGGGAAUACGAAGGGGGCUAGUGUUGUUCGGAAUUACUGGGCGUAAAGCGCACGUAGGCGGAUAUUUAAGUCAGGGGUGAAAUCCCGCAGCUCAACUGCGGAACUGCCUUUGAUACUGGGUAUCUUGAGUAUGGAAGAGGUUAGUGGAAUUGCGAGUGUAGAGGUGAAAUUCGUAGAUAUUCGCAGGAACACCAGUGGCGAAGGCGGCUAACUGGUCCAUAACUGACGCUGAGGUGCGAAAGCGUGGGGAGCAAACAGGAUUAGAUACCCCCGUAGUCCCUGUCUCUUAUAC
Molecule: ribosomal RNA, 301 nt
Filed under: uncultured bacterium
Lineage: Bacteria
Description: partial 16S ribosomal RNA
Rfam family: Bacterial small subunit ribosomal RNA
Source: RNAcentral